This 116-nucleotide ribosomal RNA is filed under the name Geobacillus thermoleovorans B23. Lineage: Bacteria; Bacillati; Bacillota; Bacilli; Caryophanales; Anoxybacillaceae. The record is from RNAcentral.
UGCCUAGCAGCGACCUACUCUUGCAGGGGCGCUGGCCCCAACUACCAUCGGCGCUGGAGGGCUUAACUUCCGUGUUCGGGAUGGGAACGGGUGUUUCCCCUCCGCUAUCACCACUA